UGAACGCUAGCGGCAGGCUUAACACAUGCAAGUCGAGGGGCAUCACGGGUAGCAAUACCUGGUGGCGACCGGCGCAAGGGUGCGUAACGCGUGAGCAACAUGCCCUAUACAGGGGGAUAAUCCAGGGAAACUUGGUCUAAUAUCCCAUAGCAUUUAGAGGUGGCAUCACCAUUAAAUUAAAGCUUCGGUGGUAUAGGAUUGGCUCGCGUGACAUUAGCUAGAUGGUGGGGUAACGGCUCACCAUGGCUAUGAUGUCUAGGGGUUCUGAGAGGAAGACCCCCCACACUGGGACUGAGACACGGCCCAGACUCCUACGGGAGGCAGCAGUGAGGAAUAUUGGACAAUGGAUGGAAAUCUGAUCCGGCCAUGCCGCGUGCAGGAAGACGGCCCUAUGGGUUGUAAACUGCUUUUAUAUGGGAGCAAUAAGGUCUACGAGUAGACCGAUGAGAGUACCAUAUGAAUAAGCAUCGGCUAACUCCGUG
This 482-nucleotide ribosomal RNA is filed under the name uncultured bacterium. RNAcentral's name for it is "bacterial SSU rRNA". It matches the Rfam family "Bacterial small subunit ribosomal RNA", at positions 30 to 507 of the family's 1533-position model. The record is from RNAcentral.